RNAcentral lists this ribosomal RNA (253 nucleotides) under uncultured bacterium. Its description in RNAcentral is "partial 16S ribosomal RNA". It matches the Rfam family "Bacterial small subunit ribosomal RNA", at positions 524 to 776 of the family's 1533-position model. The record is from RNAcentral.
UACGUAGGGUGCGAGCGUUAAUCGGAAUUACUGGGCGUAAAGCGUGCGCAGGCGGUUACAUAAGACAGAUGUGAAAUCCCCGGGCUUAACCUGGGAACUGCGUUUGUGACUGUGUGACUAGAGUACGGCAGAGGGGGGUGGAAUUCCUGGUGUAGCAGUGAAAUGCGUAGAUAUCAGGAGGAACAUCGAUGGCGAAGGCAGCCCCCUGGGCCUGUACUGACGCUCAUGCACGAAAGCCAGGGGAGCGAACGGG